CCUUUUGGUUAUAAAUAAUUGUUAGUGGCAGACGGGUGAGUAAUGCGUAGGAAUCUACCUAGUAGUAUGGAAUAGCCAUUAGAAAUGAUGGGUAAUACUGUAUAAUCCCUGCGGGGGAAAGAUUUAUCGCUAUUAGAUGAGCCUACGUUAGAUUAGCUAGUUGGUAAGGUAAUGGCUUACCAAGGCUAUGAUCUAUAGCUGGUCUGAGAGGACGAUCAGCCACACUGGAACUGAGAUACGGUCCAGACUCCUACGGGAGGCAGCAGUGGGGAAUAUUGGACAAUGGGCGAAAGCCUGAUCCAGCUAUGCCGCGUGAGUGAAGAAGGCCUUCGGGUUGUAAAACUCUUUCAAUAGGGAAGAUAAUGAC
RNAcentral lists this ribosomal RNA (367 nucleotides) under uncultured Ehrlichia sp. Its description in RNAcentral is "bacterial SSU rRNA". It matches the Rfam family "Bacterial small subunit ribosomal RNA", at positions 70 to 455 of the family's 1533-position model. The record is from RNAcentral. Lineage: Bacteria; Pseudomonadati; Pseudomonadota; Alphaproteobacteria; Rickettsiales; Anaplasmataceae.